RNAcentral lists this ribosomal RNA (2025 nucleotides) under Clostridioides difficile. RNAcentral describes it as "partial 23S ribosomal RNA". It matches the Rfam family "Bacterial large subunit ribosomal RNA", at positions 683 to 2725 of the family's 2925-position model. Lineage: Bacteria; Bacillati; Bacillota; Clostridia; Peptostreptococcales; Peptostreptococcaceae. The record is from RNAcentral.
UUUAACUGAGCGUUCAGUUACUUGACGUAGACCCGAAACCGGGCGACCUACCCAUGAGCAGGAUGAAGCGAAAGUAAAAUUUCGUGGAGGUCCGAACCCACGAGCGUUGAAAAGCUCGGGGAUGACUUGUGGGUAGCGGUGAAAUUCCAAUCGAGCCCGGAGAUAGCUGGUUCUCCCCGAAAUAGCUUUAGGGCUAGCCUCAAGGUGAGAGAUACGGAGGUAGAGCACUGAAUGUCCUAGGGGGUAUUGCACCUACCGAAGACUAUCAAACUCCGAAUGCCGUCAUCUUAUACUUGGGAGUCAGACUGUGGGUGAUAAGAUUCAUAGUCGAAAGGGCAACAGCCCAGAUCGUCAGCUAAGGUCCCUAAAUGUAAGUUAAGUGGUAAAGGAUGUGGGAUUGCACAGACAACCAGGAUGUUGGCUUAGAAGCAGCCACUCAUUCAAAGAGUGCGUAAUAGCUCACUGGUCGAGUGAUCCUGCGCCGAAGAUUUCCGGGGCUAAAACUUACUACCGAAGCUACGGCAUCAGUAAUGAUGGGUAGGGGAGCUUCCCAUACGGGUUGAAGCAUGACCGUAAGGACAUGUGGACAGUAUGGGAGUGAGAAUGUUGGCAUGAGUAGCGAGAUGUGGGUGAGAAUCCCACAGGCCGUAAACCCAAGGUUUCCAGGGGAAGGUUCGUCCGCCCUGGGUUAGUCGGGACCUAAGCUGAGGCCGAAAGGCGUAGGUGAUGGACAACAGGUUGAUAUUCCUGUACUACCGAUAACCGUUUGAGAGAUGGGAUGACACAGUAGGAUAAGCUAAGCACACUGUUGGUUAUGUGUGCCCAAGCAUUGAGGCAGUCAAAGUAGGUAAAUCCGCUUUGAUAAUGCUGGGAUGUGAUGGGGAGCGAAAUUUAGUAGCGAAGUAGCUGAUUUCACACUGUCAAGAAAAGUCUCUAUCGAGGUUAAAGGUACCCGUACCGCAAACCGACACAGGUGGGUGAGGAGAGUAUCCUAAGGCCAGCGAGAGAACUGUUGUUAAGGAACUCGGCAAAAUGACCCCGUAACUUAGGGAUAAGGGGUGCCACCAUCAGGUGGCCGCAGAGAAUAGGCCCAAGCGACUGUUUACCAAAAACAUAGGUUUCUGCUAAGUCGCAAGACGAUGUAUAGGAGCUGACGCCUGCCCGGUGCUGGAAGGUUAAGGGGAUCUGUUAGAGCAAUCGAAGCAGUGAACUUAAGCCCCAGUAAACGGCGGCCGUAACUAUAACGGUCCUAAGGUAGCGAAAUUCCUUGUCGGGUAAGUUCCGACCCGCACGAAAGGCGUAACGAUUUGGGCACUGUCUCAACAACAGACUCGGUGAAAUUGUAAUUCCGGUGAAGAUGCCGGAUACCUGCGACAGGACGGAAAGACCCCAUGGAGCUUUACUGUAGCUUGACAUUGGGUCUUGGUACUACAUGUACAGGAUAGGUGGGAGGCUUUGAAACCAGGACGCCAGUUUUGGCGGAGCCAUCCUUGGGAUACCACCCUUGUAGUACUGGGACUCUAACCAUAGGCCAUGAAUCUGGUCUUGGGACACUGUCAGGUGGGCAGUUUGACUGGGGCGGUCGCCUCCCAAAAGGUAACGGAGGCGCUCAAAGGUUCUCUCAGUACGGUCGGAAAUCGUACGUAGAGUGUAAAGGCAAAAGAGAGCUUGAUUGCAAGACAUACAGGUCGAGCAAGGAUGAAAAUCGGACUUAGUGAUCCGGUGGUUCUGCGUGGAAGGGCCAUCGCUCAACGGAUAAAAGCUACCCUGGGGAUAACAGGCUUAUCUCCCCCAAGAGUCCACAUCGACGGGGAGGUUUGGCACCUCGAUGUCGGCUCAUCACAUCCUGGGGCUGUAGUAGGUCCCAAGGGUUGGGCUGUUCGCCCAUUAAAGUGGUACGCGAGCUGGGUUCAGAACGUCGUGAGACAGUUCGGUCCCUAUCCGUCGCAGGCGUAGGAAAUUUGAGAAGACCUGUCCUUAGUACGAGAGGACCGGGAUGGACGUACCUCUGGUGUACCAGUUGUC